UCAUCAGCACUGCACUCAAUCAUGUUUUUUUUGGGACAAUGUGGAAACUAUGUGUCUCUAUUAGCUUGAAACUGAUCAUGAAAGAACUUCAGGAAUGAAGCAUAAAAUCAGUGCCACGACAUAAUAGGUCGUAGCUUAUUUUUAUCAGAUAACUAGGAAUUAAGUUCAUUAUUUGAGCAAUAUUUCUCUCCCCCUCUCUCGUCCAUCACAUAGGAGUGGUGUGGGGUUGGUAAAUCUAAUAGACCAAUAUUUUUUCCCUUAAAAAGUAAUGCCAUUCCACUUUUUUUUAAUAUAGCACCAUAACUAUAUUUUUAUUUUGAUCAUGAAAGAUCAUUGGCUAGUAGGUUCUUUCAUUCAGGGCCAAAUUUUAUAUUGUAAAACUUAACCAUCCGAUGAAGUUUGAACUGAGCUAUUCGAUCUUGGGAAAAGGGAUAACUACAGAACAGCAAUAGAACUCAUCAGCUGCCAGAAGGAGGUUAUGGUAGGUAUGGGCUAGCUGUAAAAGGGGAACAAAGUGAGAAAAAGGUGCUCAUAUUUUAAUUUGAAUUUAUUGCGUCUUCAAAGAAGAUUGAGGCUGCAAGACUAGCUACUUUCCACUAUUAUGAGUAAUCAGAAGACCAGCUUUGAUGCUAAUUGUAGUUCCUUGAAAGAAUCCAUUCGUUUUUUUUUUUUUUCAAAUGCAACUGUGGUUAAAUUAUUACUCAUUUGUACACUAGAAUUUAACGAAAGAAUCAUCAUUGUUUCAA
Neltuma alba is the source of this 746-nucleotide long non-coding RNA. RefSeq lists it as uncharacterized. The record is from RefSeq and is a predicted model, not a curated record. NCBI's taxonomy places the organism in Eukaryota, Viridiplantae, Streptophyta, Magnoliopsida, Fabales, Fabaceae. The transcript has 2 exons.